This is a long non-coding RNA of Pollicipes pollicipes, 296 nucleotides long. RefSeq lists it as uncharacterized. The transcript is spliced from 3 exons. Lineage: Eukaryota; Metazoa; Arthropoda; Thecostraca; Pollicipedomorpha; Pollicipedidae. The record is from RefSeq and is a predicted model, not a curated record.
UCUCGACCCAGCCUCAUAUAUGUGAAUAUUGUUGACAACUUGGAAGUGGACCGCCUAUGGACAGAGUAUCAGCCGCCACCUGUUCAGCUUCAGCUAUCGGCGGUCGCUUCGAUGUGCCACCUGGUCACAGCCAAUCACAUCAUCGGAUUCGACGGGACUCGACGGCAGCUGUCUGCUCCUGGAGUUCACCUGCUCUAUGGUGACUUGUCAGAAGCCCUUCAGGUGACGGUGCGCUCCGGGCCGUGUGACCUGACCUCGGGUCAGUUCUGCUCGUGCGCCCUGCUGGCACGGGACGC